RNAcentral lists this ribosomal RNA (497 nucleotides) under uncultured bacterium. RNAcentral describes it as "partial 16S ribosomal RNA". It matches the Rfam family "Bacterial small subunit ribosomal RNA", at positions 28 to 507 of the family's 1533-position model. The record is from RNAcentral.
GGUGAACGCUGGCGGCGUGCCUAAUACAUGCAAGUCGAGCGAACGGACGAGAAGCUUGCUUCUCUGAUGUUAGCGGCGGACGGGUGAGUAACACGUGGAUAACCUACCUAUAAGACUGGGAUAACUUCGGGAAACCGGAGCUAAUACUGGAUAAUAUUUUGAACCGCAUGGUUCAAAAGUGAAAGACGGUCUUGCUGUCACUUAUAGAUGGAUCCGCGCUGCAUUAGCUAGUUGGUAAGGUAACGGCUUACCAAGGCAACGAUGCAUAGCCGACCUGAGAGGGUGAUCGGCCACACUGGAACUGAGACACGGUCCAGACUCCUACGGGAGGCAGCAGUAGGGAAUCUUCCGCAAUGGGCGAAAGCCUGACGGAGCAACGCCGCGUGAGUGAUGAAGGUCUUCGGAUCGUAAAACUCUGUUAUUAGGGAAGAACAUAUGUGUAAGUAACUGUGCACAUCUUGACGGUACCUAAUCAGAAAGCCACGGCUAACUACGUG